CCCUUAGAUGUUCUGGGCUGCACGCGCGCUACACUGAAGCUAUCAACACGUUUUCCCUCCCUGAGAAGGGCGGGUAACCUUUUGAAUCAGCUUCGUGGUAGGGAUCGGGGCUUGCAAUUGUUCCCCGUGAACCAGGAAUUCCUAGUAGACGCGAGUCAUAAGCUCGCAUCGAUUAAGUCCCUGCCCUUUGUACGCACCGCCCGUCGCUACUACCGAUUGAACGUUUUAGUGAGGCAUUUGGACCGACGCAUCUCAGUUUAACCGCUGGUUUGUGUUGGAAAGACUUCCAAACUUGAGCGUUUAGAGGAAGUGAAAGUCGUAACA
Molecule: ribosomal RNA, 324 nt
Filed under: uncultured eukaryote
Lineage: Eukaryota
Description: partial 18S ribosomal RNA
Rfam family: Eukaryotic small subunit ribosomal RNA
Source: RNAcentral